Molecule: ribosomal RNA, 253 nt
Filed under: uncultured bacterium
Lineage: Bacteria
Description: partial 16S ribosomal RNA
Rfam family: Bacterial small subunit ribosomal RNA
Source: RNAcentral
UACAGAGGGGGCAAGCGUUGUUCGGAAUUACUGGGCGUAAAGGGCGCGUAGGCGGCCGCCUAAGUCAGACGUGAAAUCCCUCGGCUCAACCGGGGAACUGCGUCUGAUACUGGGUGGCUUGAAUCCGGGAGAGGGAUGCGGAAUUCCAGGUGUAGCGGUGAAAUGCGUAGAUAUCUGGAGGAACACCGGUGGCGAAGGCGGCAUCCUGGACCGGCAUUGACACUGAGGAGCGAAAGCCAGGGGAGCAAACGGG